GGGUUGUAAACUUCUUUUGUCAGGGACGAAGCAAGUGACGGUACCUGACGAAUAAGCCACGGCUAACUACGUGCCCGCAGCCGCGGUAAUACGUAGGUGGCAAGCGGUAUCCGGAUUUACUGGGUGUAAAGGGCGGGUAGGCGGGACUGCAAGUCAGAUGUGAAAACCACGGGCUCAACCUGUGGCCUGCAUUUGAAACUGUAGUUCUUGAGUACUGGAGAGGCAGACGGAAUUCCUAGUGUAGCGGUGAAAUGCGUAGAUAUUAGGAGGAACACCAGUGGCGAAGGCGGUCUGCUGGACAGCAACUGACGCUGAGGCGCGAAAGCGUGGAGAGCAAACAGGAUUAGAUACCCUUGUAGUC
RNAcentral lists this ribosomal RNA (361 nucleotides) under uncultured bacterium. RNAcentral describes it as "partial 16S ribosomal RNA". It matches the Rfam family "Bacterial small subunit ribosomal RNA", at positions 420 to 795 of the family's 1533-position model. The record is from RNAcentral.